CACGUAGGCACCAAGCGUUGUCCGGAUUUAUUGGGCGUAAAGAGCUCGUAGGCGGUUCGGUAAGUCGGGUGUGAAAACUUUGGGCUCAACCCAAAGCCUGCACCCGAUACUGCUGUGACUUGAGUCCGGUAGGGGAGUGGGGAAUUCCUGGUGUAGCGGUGGAAUGCGCAGAUAUCAGGAGGAACACCGGUGGCGAAGGCGGAUCUCUGGGCCUUACCUGAUGCUGAGGCGCGAAAGCUAGGGGAGCGAACAGG
RNAcentral lists this ribosomal RNA (254 nucleotides) under uncultured bacterium. RNAcentral describes it as "partial 16S ribosomal RNA". It matches the Rfam family "Bacterial small subunit ribosomal RNA", at positions 524 to 776 of the family's 1533-position model. The record is from RNAcentral.